Molecule: ribosomal RNA, 736 nt
Filed under: uncultured organism
Description: SSU rRNA
Rfam family: Bacterial small subunit ribosomal RNA
Source: RNAcentral
ACGAAGACUGACGCUCAGGUGCGAAAGCGUGAGGAGCAAACAGGAUUAGAUACCCUGGUAGUACACGCCGUAAACGAUGUCGACUUGGAGGUUGUGCCCUUGAGGCGUGGCUUCCGGAGAUAACGCGUUAAGUCGACCGCCUGGGGAGUACGGCCGCAAGGUUAAAACUCAAAUGAAUUGACGGGGGCCCGCACAAGCGGUGGAGCAUGUGGUUUAAUUCGAUGCAACGCGAAGAACCUUACCUGGUCUUGACAUCCACGGAAGUUUUCAGAGAUGAGAAUGUGCCUUCGGGAACCGUGAGACAGGUGCUGCAUGGCUGUCGUCAGCUCGUGUUGUGAAAUGUUGGGUUAAGUCCCGCAACGAGCGCAACCCUUAUCUUUUGUUGCCAGCGGUCCGGCCGGGAACUCAAAGGAGACUGCCAGUGAUAAACUGGAGGAAGGUGGGGAUGACGUCAAGUCAUCAUGGCCCUUACGACCAGGGCUACACACGUGUUACAAUGGCGCAUACAAAGAGAAGCGACCUCGCGAGAGCAAGCGGACCUCAUAAAGUGCGUCGUAGUCCGGAUUGGAGUCUGCAACUCGCCUCCAUGAAGUCGGAAUCGCUAGUAAUCGUGGAUCAGAAUGCCACGGUGAAUACGUUCCCGGGCCUUGUACACACCGCCCGUCACACCAUGGGAGUGGGUUGCAAAAGAAGUAGGUAGCUUAUCCUUCGGGAGGGCGCUUACCACUUUGUGAUU